AAGGUUUUAUGUUAAUUAAACACAUAUCCUUCAAAGUUGUAAAUAUUGGUACAAAUCCUUUAAACCUUA
Molecule: transfer RNA, 69 nt
Filed under: Cloeon dipterum
Lineage: Eukaryota; Metazoa; Arthropoda; Insecta; Ephemeroptera; Baetidae
Description: tRNA-Trp
Rfam family: tRNA
About the family: Transfer RNA (tRNA) molecules are approximately 80 nucleotides in length. Their secondary structure includes four short double-helical elements and three loops (D, anti-codon, and T loops).
Source: RNAcentral